Molecule: long non-coding RNA, 387 nt
Organism: Spinacia oleracea (spinach)
Lineage: Eukaryota; Viridiplantae; Streptophyta; Magnoliopsida; Caryophyllales; Amaranthaceae
Exons: 2
Source: RefSeq, a predicted model, not a curated record
AGUGUGCUCAACAACCGGGAUCACUAGAAUGUGGCUACCACGUCAUGCGUUUUAUGUACGACAUAAUAAUGAAUCAUGGUAAUAGUCAAGAUCUUACUAAGGAUUUUUCAAGAACAUUGCCUUAUUCACCGGAGGAGAUUAAUGAGGUGAAAGAUUUUUGGGCAGAUUACUUCAUGAACAAUGUCGACUUUUAGCUUAAUUUGUAAUAUGAACUCGAUCUCUAGCUAGAUACCUUUGUUGUAGUAAUUUUAUGUUUGUUGUAACAUGUUGGUUGAUCUAUGACGAAUUUAAUUGCCUUUUAUUGGGAACGUUAAUUACGUUGUAAACUAUUGUGACAGGUAUUAUUUAUAAAUGUAUUCCCGGUAUUGGGAAGCGUCUACUUUCAAA